GGUAGUGUGGCUGAGUGGUCUAAGGUGCUGGAUUAAGGCUCCAGUCUCUUCGGAGGUGUGGGUUUGAAUCCCGCUGCUGCCA
Pangasianodon hypophthalmus (striped catfish) is the source of this 82-nucleotide non-coding RNA. Lineage: Eukaryota; Metazoa; Chordata; Actinopteri; Siluriformes; Pangasiidae. The record is from the annotation of a RefSeq genome assembly.